AAGUGAUUAACUCAACUGGUAGAGUGUCUCGCUUACAACGAGGAAGUUAGUGGUUCGAAUCCGCUAUCACUUA
This 73-nucleotide transfer RNA is filed under the name Cylindrotheca closterium. RNAcentral describes it as "tRNA-Val". It matches the Rfam family "tRNA". From Rfam's summary of the family: Transfer RNA (tRNA) molecules are approximately 80 nucleotides in length. Their secondary structure includes four short double-helical elements and three loops (D, anti-codon, and T loops). Lineage: Eukaryota; Bacillariophyta; Bacillariophyceae; Bacillariales; Bacillariaceae. RNAcentral also lists the same sequence under 1 other name. The record is from RNAcentral.